GGCUCAGGACGAACGCUGGCGGCGUGCCUAACACAUGCAAGUCGAACGGUCUUUCUAUGGAAGCUUGCUUCCACUGAGAAGAUAGUGGCGAACGGGUGAGUAACACGUGGGUAACCUGCCCAUAAGAGGGGGAUAACAUCCGGAAACGGGUGCUAAUACCGCAUAGUUUUCUUGAUCGCAUGAUCGGGAAAGGAAAGACGGCCUUUGUGCUGUCGCUUAUGGAUGGACCCGCGGCGUAUUAGUUAGUUGGUGAGGUAACGGCUCACCAAGACGAUGAUACGUAGCCGACCUGAGAGGGUGAUCGGCCACAUUGGGACUGAGACACGGCCCAAACUCCUACGGGAGGCAGCAGUAGGGAAUCUUCCGCAAUGGACGAAAGUCUGACGGAGCAACGCCGCGUGAGUGAAGAAAGGUUUUCGGAUCGUAAAACUCUGUUGUCAGAGAAGAACAAGUUGGAGAGUAACUGCUCCAGCCUUGACGGUAUCUGACCAGAAAGCCACGGCUAACUACGUGCCAGCCGCCGC
Molecule: ribosomal RNA, 524 nt
Filed under: uncultured bacterium
Lineage: Bacteria
Description: bacterial SSU rRNA
Rfam family: Bacterial small subunit ribosomal RNA
Source: RNAcentral